GUUGUCUUCCGGUUUCCUAAAUGGGCAUUUUUCUUUUCCUCUCUCUCAAGGAAGUGGAAAUCCAGAAAGAGGAAGUGACUUGCCCAAGAAAACAGGUCAAGGACCCAGUAGUUCCAUGAUGCAAAUGAAUGGGCACUGGUGGAAGAAUCAGCCGCCUGGAGGAGAUCUCUCAUCACAUGAAGCCAGUGAGGAGAAGAGGGCUCAAACAUCACAGACCCUACUGUUCCUACUGAAAUUCAGUAGAUUUUUGUAAAUAAAUGUUUUUCAAUUUUC
Molecule: long non-coding RNA, 273 nt
Organism: Leopardus geoffroyi (Geoffroy's cat)
Lineage: Eukaryota; Metazoa; Chordata; Mammalia; Carnivora; Felidae
Exons: 2
Source: RefSeq, a predicted model, not a curated record